UGGUUGAUCCUGCCAGUAGUCAUAUGCUUGUCUCAAAGAUUAAGCCAUGCAUGUGUAAGUACAAGCCGAGUUAAGGCGAAACCGCGAAUGGCUCAUUAAAUCAGCUAUGUUUCAUUGGAUCUGUAAACCCACUUACUUGGAUAACUGUGGUAAUUCUAGAGCUAAUACAUGCAUCACGUCUCUGACCGCAAGGGAAGAGCGCUUUUAUUAGUUCAAAACUGGUCGGGCCUCGGUCCGUUAACCCACCCGUGGUGAAUCUGAAUAACUUUUUGCUGAGCGCACGGUCUCCGCACCGGCGCCGCAUCCUUCAAGUGUCUGCCUUAUCAGCUUUCGAUUGUAGGUUAUGCGCCUACAAUGGCUAUAACGGGUAACGGGGAAUCAGGGUUCGAUUCCGGAGAGGGAGCCUGAGAAACGGCUACCACAUCUAAGGAAGGCAGCAGGCACGCAAAUUACCCACUCCCGGCACGGGGAGGUAGUGACGAAAAAUAACGAUGCGAGACUCAUCCGAGGCCUCGCAAUCGGAAUGAGUACACUUUAAAUCCUUUAACGAGGAUCUAUUGGAGGGCAAGUCUGGUGCCAGCAGCCGCGGUAAUUCCAGCUCCAAUAGCGUAUAUUAAAGUUGUUGCGGUUAAAAAGCUCGUAGUUGGAUCUCAGUUCCGGACUGACGGUACACCGCCUGGUGCUUACUGUCACGCUCCGAACAGCUAACUAGCCCCGCCGGCUCGCACGGGGUGCUCUUCAUCGAGUGUCCCGAGUGGCCGGCACGUUUACUUUGAAAAAAUUAGAGUGCUCAGAGCAGGCUACUUUAAUGGCCUGAAUGUCUAUGCAUGGAAUAAUGGAAUAGGACCUCGGUUCUAUUUUGUUGGUUUUCGGAACCUGAGGUAAUGACUAAUAGGAACAGGCGGGGGCAUUCGUACUGCGACGCUAGAGGUGAAAUUCUUGGACCGUCGCAAGACGAACUACUGCGAAAGCAUUUGCCAAGGAUGUUUUCAUUAAUCAAGAACGAAAGUUAGAGGUUCGAAGGCGAUCAGAUACCGCCCUAGUUCUAACCAUAAACGAUGCCAACUAGCGAUCCGCCGGCGUUAUUCCCAUGACCCGGCGGGCAGCUUCCGGGAAACCAAAGUCUUUGGGUUCCGGGGGAAGUAUGGUUGCAAAGCUGAAACUUAAAGGAAUUGACGGAAGGGCACCACCAGGAGUGGAGCCUGCGGCUUAAUUUGACUCAACACGGGGAACCUCACCAGGCCCAGACACCGGAAGGAUUGACAGAUUGAGAGCUCUUUCUCGAUUCGGUGGGUGGUGGUGCAUGGCCGUUCUUAGUUGGUGGAGCGAUUUGUCUGGUUAAUUCCGAUAACGAACGAGACUCUGGCCUAUUAACUAGUCGACGGAUCUCCAGCAAUUGGUGUCCAGUUCGCAACUUCUUCUUAGAGGGAUUAGCGGCAAUUCUAGCCGCACGAGAUUACUGAAGAGAUCAACGUGUUCUCCCCCUCCGAGAGGAGCGGGUAACCCGUUCAAUCCCCUUCAUGAUAGGGAUUGGGGCUUGCAAUUGUUUCCCAUGAACGAGGAAUUCCCAGUAAGUGCAAGUCAUCAGCUUGCGCUGAUUACGUCCCUGCCCUUUGUACACACCGCCCGUCGCUACUACCGAUUGAAUGAUUUAGUGAGGCCUUCGGACUGGCGCUCUUGGAUGUUCUACCCCUCGCGUCUCGGCGCAAGGGGUUCUCGCCUCGAGCUGACGGAAAGAUGUCCAAACUUGAUCAUUUAGAGGAAGUAAAAGUCGUAACAAGGUUUCCGUAGGUGAACCUGCGGAAGG
RNAcentral lists this ribosomal RNA (1807 nucleotides) under Faxonius virilis. RNAcentral's name for it is "SSU rRNA". It matches the Rfam family "Eukaryotic small subunit ribosomal RNA". Lineage: Eukaryota; Metazoa; Arthropoda; Malacostraca; Decapoda; Cambaridae. The record is from RNAcentral.